Chiloscyllium plagiosum (whitespotted bambooshark) is the source of this 1503-nucleotide non-coding RNA. The record is from RefSeq and is a predicted model, not a curated record. Lineage: Eukaryota; Metazoa; Chordata; Chondrichthyes; Orectolobiformes; Hemiscylliidae.
AAGAGAGAUCAUUUAGUAAGAAGGUGGGACACAGUUCGCUUCAAGUAUCCCCCCUCCCAAUGUCACCCGAGUUCACUCUUUUUCCACAGGAUAAAUUAAGAGAAGACCUCUCCACCAGCAUGUACCAGCUCUAUCUCAGCAACAUAUCCCAACAUGUGCAAGAUCCCACAAAGAACGACAGCCAGGGCGACCAGAACUGGACGCAGUACUCCAGAAGUGACCUCACCAAUGUCCUGUACAAUGUGGUGUGUAAAUUACCACAAGUUAAUCUUUACCCCAUCUCCUGGGAACAAGUCUGGUGAACCUUUGUUGUACUUCCUCGGAGAAUAAUGACUUUCCUGAGAUAAGGAGACCAAAACUGAACACAGGACUCCAGGAAAGUUCGGACGAAACAGUCCCAAACAAAAAUGCAAACGGAUGGUGAAUGGAAACUUUCACGACCAAACAGAAACUUACAAUAUCAACAUAAUGAGGUCUGGGGUGAUGAUGCCCACUGCUCUCGAAAGGCCUCAACUGUGACGGAGGGGUGUCUGUGAAAAGACCACCAGAUCUUCAGGUUUCCAACAAGAACCCUGUAUUCAUAUGGCACUUUUAAAACUGGGAGAACAUCACAGAUCGCCUCACAGGAGAGAACAUCAAACAGCCAUUGACCUCCGAGAUUCACAGGAUGACAUCACGGAAAGUCAGGAGAGUGGCAGGUGAGGGAGGAGGCCUCUGGCAGCAGUGACGCUAGUACAAACCGGAAACGCCCCCAGCCCAGCCCGGGAUCUGCUGUCGAGCAAGGAACAGGUCUGGGCUGACUCCCCCGGCCUAGACACGCAGGCUAGGCUGAGGCUCCGGGUCCAUGCCUAGGCCCAGACACCUGAAAGAGGAGAAAGGCGGUCUUGGCCUGGAAUCGCAGGCUAGGGCAAGGUUCCAGAUCCGCAUCUAGGCCCGGCGCCUGAAGGAAGAGAAAGGCGGUUUAAGCCCAGAAUCACAGGCUAGGCCGAGACUCCAGAUCUGCAUCUAGGCCCGUGCGCCUGAAGGAGGAGAAAGGCGGUCCAGGCCCUGAAUCACAGGCUAGGCCGAGACUCCAGAUCCGCAUCCAGGCCCGUGCGCCUGAAGGAGGAGAAAGGCGGUCCAGGCCCUGAAUCACAGGCUAGGCCGAGACUCCAGAUCCGCAUCUAGGCCCAGGCGCCUGAAGGAGGAGAAAGGCGGUCUAGGCCCGGAUUCACAGGCUAGGCCGAGGCUCCAGGUCUGCAUCUAGACCUGGGCGCCUGAAGGAAGAGAAGGCAAUUUAGUUCGGACAUGGCAGCCUUGUCCUGGCCUAGUCAUCUCGGUCCAGCAUGGCUGCCUUGUUUGGCGGAAGGUUCCGGCCCAGUGUUCCAAUGGCCGUGCGUGGUGCUCUGGGCCCAGAAUGGCAGUCUCGUCUCAGCUGCGUCUUCAGGGUAUUCCAUUGUUCCUUAAUCGGCCUUCCCCCGACCCAGGUGCAGUUAACUAAACAGUGAUGAACUUUGUCUUAAU